UGGGGAAUUUUGGACAAUGGGCGAAAGCCUGAUCCAGCAAUGCCGCGUGUGUGAAGAAGGCCUUCGGGUUGUAAAGCACUUUUGUCCGGAAAGAAAUCCUUGGCUCUAAUACAGUCGGGGGAUGACGGUACCGGAAGAAUAAGCACCGGCUAACUACGUGCCAGCAGCCGCGGUAAUACGUAGGGUGCAAGCGUUAAUCGGAAUUACUGGGCGUAAAGCGUGCGCAGGCGGUUUGCUAAGGCCGAUGUGAAAUCCCCGGGCUCAACCUGGGAACUGCAUUGGUGACUGGCAGGCUAGAGUAUGGCAGAGGGGGGUAGAAUUCCACGUGUAGCAGUGAAAUGCGUAGAGAUGUGGAGGAAUACCGAUGGCGAAGGCAGCCCCCUGGGCCAAUACUGACGCUCAUGCACGAAAGCGUGGGGAGCAAACAGGAUUAGAUACCCUGGUAGUCCACGCCCUAAACGAUGUCAACUAGUUGUUGGGGAUUCAUUCCUUAGUAACGUAGCUAACGCGUGAAGUUGACCGCCUGGGGAGUACGGUCGCAAGAUUAAAACUCAAAUGAAUUGACGGGGUCAUAGCUGUUUCCU
RNAcentral lists this ribosomal RNA (584 nucleotides) under uncultured bacterium. RNAcentral's name for it is "partial 16S ribosomal RNA". It matches the Rfam family "Bacterial small subunit ribosomal RNA", at positions 355 to 1375 of the family's 1533-position model. The record is from RNAcentral.